AAGUUUAGGUUAAGCAAACUAGGGGCCUUCAAAGCCCCAGAUAUGAGCACUACCCUCCUAACUCCU
This 66-nucleotide transfer RNA is filed under the name Cyrtodactylus chrysopylos. Its description in RNAcentral is "tRNA-Trp". The record is from RNAcentral. Lineage: Eukaryota; Metazoa; Chordata; Lepidosauria; Squamata; Gekkonidae.